Molecule: non-coding RNA, 119 nt
Organism: Chelonobacter oris
Lineage: Bacteria; Pseudomonadati; Pseudomonadota; Gammaproteobacteria; Pasteurellales; Pasteurellaceae
Source: Rfam
UGUCAUAGCUGAAUUAGAGAUCGGCUAUUGAUGUAUUUUUCACUCAUUUUUCAGGAGUUAUUAUGUCUCUAAGUGCAGAAGCAAAAGCAAAAAUCGUUGCCGAAUUUGGGCGUGACGGU